AGAUCACAAUGUGGGAGUCCACUGCAAUAAUCCAGGAGAGAAAUCAUGUGAGCUUGAGAAGGAAUCAGAUUCUGCAUAUAUUUCCAAGUUAACAUGAACAAGAUUUUCUGAAAGACUGCUAUGGAGUCUGAGAAAAAAUGUCAAAGGUAGUGCCAAAAUUGUCACUUAAAGAACUGCAGGAAUGGAGUUGGCAUUUACAGAAUUUGGAAGAGAAGCAGGUUUAGUGAUAAAGACCAGAAGCACAGAGCUAAGCAUAUUAAAUGUGAGUUGUCUAUUAGGCAUUCAAGAAGACAUAUAGAGUGGGCAGUGGCUAUAUGAGGCUAGAGUUCUGGGAAGGCUGGGCUGAUGACAGAAAUGUAUUAGUCAUUAACAUUUAUGUGUGUGUGUACACAUAUGCACAUGAACACUGGAUAUGCGAAUGCACAGAUUGAGGACAUGAAGAGGAAAGAACUGACAGAGGAGGUGAAGAAAGGUGAUCAGGAAGAGCCAUCAAAGUGUUAUCCUGGAAUUCAAGUGAAGACAGUGUUUCAAAGUGGAAAUGAACAGUGUCCUGUAACCCUCAGAGUGAGACUAGAGUCAGAAUGCAGGCUUUUCUCAUUUGAAAUCUAUAUGCCACAGAGAGGAUCCAGAGAGCCCAUCUCCGGUCAGUUAUCUGUAUUUGUAUGUCAACUACAGCAUCAAAAAGCAUAGGCAUGGAUACUAAGGACCCCCUCUGUACACCAACGCCAGUCCAAAGGACAGUGUGUCACUGUGAACUGGAAAUUCAUCUCUCUUCUUCAAUUUUUUUCUACCUACUUUAUGCUUUAUCUCUAAGUUGAGGCUGUUUAUGGCCUCAUCCUCAAUUACCUUGUCCCUCAUUACUCCCAGUUAAUGGAGAUUAAGCUUUGUAUCAUGACUUCCUAACUAAAAUUGAAAUCACAAGACAUCACAUAAAUAAAGUUACAAAUGGAUUAGAUAAACA
Homo sapiens (human) is the source of this 961-nucleotide long non-coding RNA. Ensembl annotates it as long intergenic non-protein coding RNA 2790. The record is from Ensembl. Lineage: Eukaryota; Metazoa; Chordata; Mammalia; Primates; Hominidae.